Molecule: ribosomal RNA, 324 nt
Filed under: uncultured eukaryote
Lineage: Eukaryota
Description: partial 18S ribosomal RNA
Rfam family: Eukaryotic small subunit ribosomal RNA
Source: RNAcentral
CCCUUAGAUGUUCUGGGCUGCACGCGCGCUACACUGGUGCGCUCAACGAGUUUUAACCUUGCCUGGAAAGGUUGGGUAAUCUUUUUAAAACGCAUCGUGAUGGGGAUAGAUUAUUGCAAUUAUUAAUCUUCAACGAGGAAUUCCUAGUAAGCGCGAGUCAUCAGCUCGUGCUGAUUACGUCCCUGCCCUUUGUACACACCGCCCGUCGCUCCUACCGAUCGAAGAGUUAGGUGAAUUGUUUUGAUCGAUAAGAUUUGACUAUGGUCAACUCUCGUUGUGAAAUUCUGUGAAUCUGACUGUUUAGAGGAAGGAAAAGUCGUAACA